This 587-nucleotide ribosomal RNA is filed under the name uncultured bacterium. Its description in RNAcentral is "partial 16S ribosomal RNA". It matches the Rfam family "Bacterial small subunit ribosomal RNA", at positions 355 to 1375 of the family's 1533-position model. The record is from RNAcentral.
UGGGGAAUUUUGGACAAUGGGCGAAAGCCUGAUCCAGCAAUGCCGCGUGUGUGAAGAAGGCCUUCGGGUUGUAAAGCACUUUUGUCCGGAAAGAAAUCCUUGGCUCUAAUACAGUCGGGGGAUGACGGUACCGGAAGAAUAAGCACCGGCUAACUACGUGCCAGCAGCCGCGGUAAUACGUAGGGUGCAAGCGUUAAUCGGAAUUACUGGGCGUAAAGCGUGCGCAGGCGGUUUGCUAAGACCGAUAUGAAAUCCCCGGGCUCAACCUGGGAACUGCAUUGGUGACUGGCAGGCUAGAGUAUGGCAGAGGGGGGUAGAAUUCCACGUGUAGCAGUGAAAUGCGUAGAGAUGCGGAGGAAUACCGAUGGCGAAGGCAGCCCCCAUGGGCCAAUACUGACGCUCAUGCACGAAAGCGUGGGGAGCAAACAGGAUUAGAUACCCUGGUAGUCCACGCCCUAAAACGAUGUCAACUAGUUGUUGGGGAUUCAUUUCCUUAGUAACGUAGCUAACGCGUGAAGUUGACCGCCUGGGGAGUACGGUCGCAAGAUUAAAACUUAAAUGAAUUGACGGGGUCAUAGCUGUUUCCU